This is a non-coding RNA of Phlebotomus papatasi, 76 nucleotides long. The record is from Rfam. Lineage: Eukaryota; Metazoa; Arthropoda; Insecta; Diptera; Psychodidae.
AGCAAGCCCCAUAGAUCCAUUUCUGUCUUCUCAAAGAAAUGCUUGAGUCAUUGGCUUGCGAGAGAAAAUUCACUAU